Molecule: non-coding RNA, 343 nt
Organism: Opisthocomus hoazin
Lineage: Eukaryota; Metazoa; Chordata; Aves; Opisthocomiformes; Opisthocomidae
Source: RefSeq, a predicted model, not a curated record
AUCGGAUAUGCAGUGGACCCAGCCUACAGAGAAGAAACUUACUGGUGGAACAAACUGGCAAGCAAAAACAAGCACAUCGACUACGUGGAACCCUACUCCCUUACCCCCUAUUCCACAUAUGGUACCUGCUCCUAUCACGUACCCAGUGACCACACCUCAAGUGCCUGUAUAUGGAAUGGUACCUCCUCAGAUUGGAGCUGCUCCUUUGAUGGCACCCCAGUCAAUGAUGUAUACACAGCCUGGUCUAAGGCCAACAAACCCUUUUGCACCUGUUUCUGAAACUCAGAUACAAUUUAUGUAGAGCCGCCAAAGCAGCAAGAUGUGAGAACAACCAAAUACUGGU